GACGAACGCUGGCGGCGCGCCUAACACAUGCAAGUCGAACGGAGCUGAGAGAAGCUUGCUUUUCUUAGCUUAGUGGCGAACGGGUGAGUAACGCGUGAGUAACCUGCCCUGGGGUGGGGGACAACAGUUGGAAACGACUGCUAAUACCGCAUAAGCCCACGAUCCGGCAUCGGAUUGAGGGAAAAGGAUUUAUUCGCUUCAGGAUGGACUCGCGUCCAAUUAGCUAGUUGGUGAGGUAACGGCCCACCAAGGCGACGAUUGGUAGCCGGACUGAGAGGUUGAACGGCCACAUUGGGACUGAGACACGGCCCAGACUCCUACGGGAGGCAGCAGUGGGGGAUAUUGCACAAUGGGGGAAACCCUGAUGCAGCGACGCCGCGUGGAGGAAGAAGGUUUUCGGAUUGUAAACUCCUGUCGUUAGGGACGAUAAUGACGGUACCUAACAAGAAAGCACCGGCUAACUACGUG
RNAcentral lists this ribosomal RNA (468 nucleotides) under uncultured bacterium. RNAcentral's name for it is "partial 16S ribosomal RNA". It matches the Rfam family "Bacterial small subunit ribosomal RNA", at positions 28 to 507 of the family's 1533-position model. The record is from RNAcentral.